UGUCUUCCGGGUCGGAAGGACACUUACGUAAAUCCUACGUAAACCCCACACGUACCACUGUCCUCGGGGAAGGGCACUCACGUAAAUCCUACGUGACCUUGUACGUAUUCCUGUUCUCGGAUUAAGAAGAACACAUGGUUGCAAAUAGUCUAGACCUUAGGUACUUAUGGAGCUUGCACAAGGAGGAGCAGGUCGUUGUGGGCAAAUGGAUCGUGAUUACUUAUUAA
Molecule: long non-coding RNA, 227 nt
Filed under: Helianthus annuus (common sunflower)
Lineage: Eukaryota; Viridiplantae; Streptophyta; Magnoliopsida; Asterales; Asteraceae
Description: hypothetical non coding rna
Source: RNAcentral